AUAGCGCCAGGGACAGCAUUUUGGCUAAGAUCAAGUGUAGAAUCUGUUCUUAUCAGUUUUGAUAUGUUCCCUAUAAGGGGAUAACGUAUUAAAGCCAGUCUUAGGAAAUGGAGCUGAAUUGGGAGCUUUCUCCACUCACUAACCCCUAACCCUAACACCACAAACUGAUUAAAUGGCUGACAAGAA
This is a small nuclear RNA of Toxotes jaculatrix (banded archerfish), 186 nucleotides long. RefSeq annotates it as U2 spliceosomal RNA. Lineage: Eukaryota; Metazoa; Chordata; Actinopteri; Toxotidae. The transcript has a single exon. The record is from RefSeq and is a predicted model, not a curated record.